RNAcentral lists this long non-coding RNA (414 nucleotides) under Equus caballus (horse). RNAcentral's name for it is "lncRNA (ENSECAG00000049125.1)". Lineage: Eukaryota; Metazoa; Chordata; Mammalia; Perissodactyla; Equidae. The record is from RNAcentral.
CACUGCAGAGGCAGAGCUAGUAAUUACAGCUCCCUUCUCUGUUCAAUCUCUGUUAUCAUCACCAGCAUCAUCAUCAUCUUAACUACCACGUCAUGAAUGUUACCGGGUACCAAGCAAUUUAAACACAAGCCUGGAAGCCUAGAAGGAAGACCUGCAAGAGGGUAUUGUUAUCUCCAUUCAUCAGAUGAAAAAGUUGAGACCUAGAAGGCCCCUUCCACUGGGAGGUCUUAUUUGCUUGCUGACUUUCCCCAACAACUUUACUGAUCUUUGUGUGCCUGGCCCUGGAGUGAGCAUGGGGCAUCCAGAAAUAACAAGACAUGAUCCCUGCGUCGUCCAGUGAAGACUAUGACAGACAGAUGAUCACCACAUCACCACGUGACACUGUGCAGGGUCCAGAGGAGGCACUGCUCUGCC